Molecule: ribosomal RNA, 467 nt
Filed under: uncultured Rhodocyclaceae bacterium
Lineage: Bacteria; Pseudomonadati; Pseudomonadota; Betaproteobacteria; Rhodocyclales; Rhodocyclaceae
Description: bacterial SSU rRNA
Rfam family: Bacterial small subunit ribosomal RNA
Source: RNAcentral
CGGGGACCCGCACAAGCGGUGGAUGAUGUGGAUUAAUCGAUGCAACGCGAAAACCUUACCUACCCUUGACAUGUCCGGAAUCCCGAAGAGAUUUGGGAGUGCUCGCAAGAGAGCCGGAACACAGGUGCUGCAUGGCUGUCGUCAGCUCGUGUCGUGAGAUGUUGGGUUAAGUCCCGCAACGAGCGCAACCCUUGUCAUUAGUUGCCAUCAUUUGGUUGGGCACUCUAAUGAGACUGCCGGUGACAAACCGGAGGAAGGUGGGGAUGACGUCAAGUCCUCAUGGCCCUUAUAGGUGGGGCUACACACGUCAUACAAUGGCCGGUACAGAGGGUAGCCAACCCGCGAGGGGGAGCCAAUCCCACAAAGCCGGUCGUAGUCCGGAUCGCAGUCUGCAACUCGACUGCGUGAAGUCGGAAUCGCUAGUAAUCGCGGAUCAGCAUGUCGCGGUGAAUACGUUCCCGGGUCUU